Long non-coding RNA from Onychostruthus taczanowskii (white-rumped snowfinch), 2003 nucleotides. RefSeq lists it as uncharacterized. The transcript has 2 exons. The record is from RefSeq and is a predicted model, not a curated record. NCBI's taxonomy places the organism in Eukaryota, Metazoa, Chordata, Aves, Passeriformes, Passeridae.
CAGUAGAAGUUGCGGCGGCGGCGGGAGAGAGGCGGCGGGGGCGGCCGGGGUGUCCGAGCCCCGGGCCCGCAGCGCUGCCCGCCCGGCGGCCGCCCCGGGCCUGUCGGGGGAACCGGGGCGCAGCGAAGCGGCGGCGGAGCCCGCGGAGGAAACUAAAUAAAUAAAAUCAGACUGUUAUUUAAGGCGCGUAAAUUUAAAAUUAUUUGGACAGGAAGAGCAAGGGGAGCGGAGCCGCAGGAGCCAAAGUAACGGUUUCGGAGCCGGGCGCGGCCCCCCCGCCCCGCGGCCCCGCGCCCCGGCGCUCCCCGGGGGCCGCCCGACCUGCCCGCAGCCCGGCCGGCGCGACCCUCCCUCCUCCCCGGGGACCCCGCAGAGCCCUCCGGGAGCACCGACAUUUUGAGUGCCUGUGUGGUGGGGCAGGCUGUGCUGAGAGCCGGAUCCCUUUAGGAUCUGUCCCUUUCCAAAAGGAGCUCAGCAGCCCCCGCCGUUGUUCCGAGGAUAAUUUAGAAACAAAGGUCAAGUGCAACAGCUUUGCUCAUCCGUGUAACUGAAAUAGGGGAGAGGGCUGUUGCCCCACAGUUGUGUCCUCACACAGCCUGGUCACUGUGAAUCCUGGUACAGCUAUGUUUUAUGCUCUAUUUCUUCACGUUUUUCUGUGCUUGCUGUAUUUGUUUCUAUUUAUACCUCUCAUCUCGAUACUGCACUGUUUGCUGCCGAUUCCUGGGCUGCUGCAGGGCGAUCUCCGCUCCUGCCUGCAGACUUAACUUGGCAGUUGGUUUGUGUCUCAAUAAAACCCCUCAAAAAUCCUCAAUUCAAUCUCACACGCUGCAGUUGUGCAUCUCUGGAUAAAUACGUUUGUCGACAUUUUCAGGAAUAUGCGAAUUUUUGAAACUGGACUUUUUGAUGUUGCCAGAAUAGUGGGGGGAAAGCGCCAAAGCAAUUUCUGAAACCACAUGGGAUAUUACAAUCCUUUUUAGGUGUCAAGAUUCCCUAUUAAUGAGACUCGCAUUAUAUUAUUUUCUCCUCGCUCAGUGAUUAUAAAGACUUCUGGAGGAAAGGCAUUCCCCAGCAGCCGGGCACCUUUUGUCACUGGCAAACCCUGUGAGGUGCGGGUAACACCAGCUGACUGAUUUCUUUGGUUUCCUAGAGGCUCUUUGCAGUAACUAUUAACUUCCUGGGAUAAUAGAGAGCAAUUUUUUGCUUUCCAAGUACCUAACUAGGAAUUUCAAUUGAUCAUCUUGUUGAGGGGCUCACAGAGAAAACGCAGCAGUGAAAUCAGAUAAAACACACCUUUAAACCAGACUAUCAGCCGUGACUCAGCCGCCGACGCUUUGGGCAUGGCCGGGGGCUGAUCCGUCCUGGCUUUAACCCUGAACUCCUGGCACGCAAUAAAAGCCGCUAUUUCUGACUAGGCGGGGCAUUUUUCUCGGAAGCGAAGUUGUUCUUAUUAAGCCACUGCUUAAACUUCGCCUUAGCGUAAAUUAAAUGCUGAUGAAGCUCCGAACGGGUUUGAAAUUAGGUUUUUUAGUAGCACGGGUGAAAAAAAACAAUUAACAAACGUGAGAAAGCUGGAUGUUACCUUCUGGUGUAGCACGGAAUUCCUCUAUGUGAGAGGAAUGGAGAAGGAAAAGGCUUGGAGCAUCCUCCAGGACACGAGGAAAGGAAGAUGGAGAGCAGCACAGAGCGAUUUGGGUCACUUCAUCUGGGGGACCUGUGGAUUAUGUUGCUCGGUUGAAUAUUUCAGGUGGUUUAGUGCUCUUUCUACUGGGAAUUUUGGGGUUAUUUCUCUAAAAAUGCUUCUUAUGUGCUGUGCUGCUCUGAUUAAUGAUCAUGGCACAAUUUUUCAUAUUUCACAGAGGUUUUUAAUCAGAACACAGCAGCGUGACAGAGCUUAUAGUAAAUGUGACAGACAGUUUCAGCAAAUUUCUUUUUACUUGAAAAUGUAGUAACUGAUUUUGGGGGGCUAAUUAAAAAAAAAAAAAGUUAAAAACUAAGACUAUUCC